This 311-nucleotide ribosomal RNA is filed under the name uncultured eukaryote. RNAcentral describes it as "partial 18S ribosomal RNA". It matches the Rfam family "Eukaryotic small subunit ribosomal RNA", at positions 1470 to 1796 of the family's 1831-position model. The record is from RNAcentral.
CCCUUAGAUGUCCUGGGCCGCACGCGUGCUACACUGAUGCAUACAGCGAGUACUCCCAGCUCCGAGAGGCUGCUGGUAAUCAGCAAUAUGCAUCGUGAUGGGGAUAGAUCUUUGGAAUUAUAGAUCUUGAACGAGGAAUUCCUAGUAAUCGCAGGUCAUCACCCUGCGUUGACUAAGUCCCUGCCCUUUGUACACACCGCCCGUCGCUCCUACCGAUUUCGAGUGAUCCGGUGAAUCAUUCGGACCGCGGCCCCUAGGCAUGCGGAAAGUCUAGUAAACCAUAUCACUGAGAGGAAGGAGAAGUCGUAACA